GAUCAUGGCUCAGGAUGAACGCUGGCGGCGUGCCUAACACAUGCAAGUCGAGCGGAGAUAAGUGAAGCCUAGCGAUCUUAUCUUAGCGGCGGAUGGGUGAGUAACACGUGGGUAACCUGCCCUGCACUGGGGAAUAACAGCUGGAAACGGCUGUUAAUGCCGCAUAUGCGCACGGAGCCGCAUGGCUUUGGGCGGAAAGAUUUAUCGGCGCAGGAUGGGCCCGCGCCGGAUUAACUAGUUGGCGGGGUAACGGCCCACCAAGGUGAUGAUCCGUAGCCGACCUGAGAGGGUGACCGGCCACAUUGGGACUGAGACACGGCCCAAACUCCUGCGGGAGGCAGCAGUGGGGGAUAUUGCACAAUGGGGGAAACCCUGAUGCAGCGACGCCGCGUGAAGGAUGAAGUAUUUCGGUAUGUAAACUUCUAUCAGCGGGGAAGAAGAUGACGGUACCCGACUAAGAAGCCCCGGCUAACUACGUGCCAGCCGCCGC
This 490-nucleotide ribosomal RNA is filed under the name uncultured bacterium. RNAcentral's name for it is "bacterial SSU rRNA". It matches the Rfam family "Bacterial small subunit ribosomal RNA", at positions 15 to 518 of the family's 1533-position model. The record is from RNAcentral.